This 592-nucleotide small RNA is filed under the name Histoplasma capsulatum. RNAcentral describes it as "hypothetical RNA". The record is from RNAcentral. Lineage: Eukaryota; Fungi; Ascomycota; Eurotiomycetes; Onygenales; Ajellomycetaceae. RNAcentral also lists the same sequence under 1 other name.
CUAGAAUCAUUCAAAUAUCAUCCAAUUCAUUCAAAUACGCACCUUUAUCAUCAAAUACGCACCUUUAUCAUCAAAUCUGCCAAUAUGCCCCGCAACACCCACCGUUCUACUGCCUUGCAAGCUCAUAAAAGGACUCCAACUACCCUGCGCCUUCAUCUGCCCAAACCACCUGUUCCGGAUGUUCCAGAUAAUGACAAGAAUCCAACUGAUGAUGAGAAGGAGGAGGAGGAGGAGGAGGAGGAGGAGACACAGUCAGAAGAUCCUCAAUUUCUGCAAACACCUACCCCUGAGCCCAAGAUCUCAUUCAGGCUGUAUGAACGGGUGAUUAUCAAUGGGAUAAAGGAGCCUAUAAAGAUCAAGUUAUGGAAUGUCACAACAAAUGAUAUGACUGUCAGCUUCUAUCAUAUUCAAUAUACUGCAAAAAGAAUAGCUGAAGAGUAUGUUAUGAAGCAGAACUGCAAGGAGAUAGAAGUUGCAAAUUGUAUAGCAGUCAUCUCAUCAAACAAACAUGGAUCUUCAAUUAAAAUCACCCUUGAGAAGGAGACAGAUUGGAGAGAGAUUAUCACUCUUUUGAAGGAGUUAUAUAAGGAGA